This 1046-nucleotide ribosomal RNA is filed under the name Aurantiochytrium limacinum. RNAcentral's name for it is "partial Bacterial small subunit ribosomal RNA". It matches the Rfam family "Bacterial small subunit ribosomal RNA", at positions 342 to 1378 of the family's 1533-position model. Lineage: Eukaryota; Bigyra; Thraustochytrida; Thraustochytriidae. The record is from RNAcentral.
CGGGAGGCAGCAGUGGGGAAUAUUGGACAAUGGGGGCAACCCUGAUCCAGCCAUGCCGCGUGUGUGAAGAAGGUCUUCGGAUUGUAAAGCACUUUAAGUUGGGAGGAAGGGCAUUAACCUAAUACGUUAGUGUUUUGACGUUACCGACAGAAUAAGCACCGGCUAACUCUGUGCCAGCAGCCGCGGUAAUACAGAGGGUGCGAGCGUUAAUCGGAAUUACUGGGCGUAAAGCGAGUGUAGGUGGCUCAUUAAGUCACAUGUGAAAUCCCCGGGCUUAACCUGGGAACUGCAUGUGAUACUGGUGGUGCUAGAAUAUGUGAGAGGGAAGUAGAAUUCCAGGUGUAGCGGUGAAAUGCGUAGAGAUCUGGAGGAAUACCGAUGGCGAAGGCAGCUUCCUGGCAUAAUAUUGACACUGAGAUUCGAAAGCGUGGGUAGCAAACAGGAUUAGAUACCCUGGUAGUCCACGCCGUAAACGAUGUCUACUAGCCGUUGGGGUCCUUGAGACUUUAGUGGCGCAGUUAACGCGAUAAGUAGACCGCCUGGGGAGUACGGCCGCAAGGUUAAAACUCAAAUGAAUUGACGGGGGCCCGCACAAGCGGUGGAGCAUGUGGUUUAAUUCGAUGCAACGCGAAGAACCUUACCUGGUCUUGACAUAGUGAGAAUCUUUCAGAGAUGAGAGAGUGCCUUCGGGAAUUCACAUACAGGUGCUGCAUGGCUGUCGUCAGCUCGUGUCGUGAGAUGUUGGGUUAAGCCCCGCAACGAGCGCAACCCUCGUUCUAUGUUGCCAGCACGUGAUGGUGGGGACUCAUAGGAGACUGCCGGGGUCAACUCGGAGGAAGGUGGGGAUGACGUCAAAUCAUCAUGCCCCUUAUGUCUUGGGCUUCACGCAUGCUACAAUGGCCGGUACAAAGGGCUGCAAUACCGCAAGGUGGAGCGAAUCCCAAAAAGCCGGUCUCAGUUCGGAUUGAGGUCUGCAACUCGACCCCAUGAAGUCGGAGUCGCUAGUAAUCGCAGAUCAGCAACGCUGCGGUGAAUACGUUCCCGGG